GCCUACGGGACGCAGCAGUAGGGAAUUUUCGUCAAUGGGCGCAAGCCUGAACGAGCAAUGCCGCGUGAACGAGGAAGGUCUUCGGAUCGUAAAGUUCUGUUGAAGGGGAAAAAGAGCGGAGAGAGGAAAUGCUUUCUGAUUGAUAUUACCCUUCGAGGAAGUCACGGCUAACUACGUGCCAGCAGCCGCGGUAAUACGUAGGUGGCGAGCGUUAUCCGGAAUGAUUGGGCGUGAAGGGUGCGUAGGCGGCCUGCUAAGUCUGGAGUGAAAGGUACCGGCUCAACCGGUACAGGCUCUGGAAACUG
This 305-nucleotide ribosomal RNA is filed under the name uncultured bacterium. Its description in RNAcentral is "bacterial SSU rRNA". It matches the Rfam family "Bacterial small subunit ribosomal RNA", at positions 337 to 635 of the family's 1533-position model. The record is from RNAcentral.